AGCAGCGUGGCUCAGUGGAAAGAGCACGGGCUUGGGAGCCAGAAGUCACGGGUUUGAAUCCCGGCUCUGCUA
This 72-nucleotide transfer RNA is filed under the name Ornithorhynchus anatinus (platypus). It matches the Rfam family "tRNA". Rfam says of the family: Transfer RNA (tRNA) molecules are approximately 80 nucleotides in length. Their secondary structure includes four short double-helical elements and three loops (D, anti-codon, and T loops). Lineage: Eukaryota; Metazoa; Chordata; Mammalia; Monotremata; Ornithorhynchidae. The record is from Rfam by way of RNAcentral.